AGCUAAUUGGCACUACUUAUCAAAACAGCCUUUUAUGCGCAUAUCUUCUGCUGGGUUCCUUUCCCUUUAUAGCUUUUGUAAGUUUUCUGUUUUUGUUUUUUUUUAAUCAGUAUGCUUGACAUGGCUUUCAAAAGGUAGAAGAACAAAUAAGAAAUAUGAAAAGAUGAUAUUCUCAUAAGAUUGAGCUGCAUCAAAAGAAGGGUAGCCAGCAGGGUGAGGAUAGAUAUCAGAUUAUUACGACAGGAUGCAUCAAAUUUAUUUCAUACAAGACCACUUUGACUUGAAGAAUCAAUAUGACAGAUGGAUGCAAAGGUUGAUACAUACACAAUUGCAGAAAGGGUUAUUUUGUGAAGUUAUUCCUUUCCUACAUCCUUAAGAACUCCAACCAGUUUCUAAGAAGAUAGAAUCUUUCUCUUGUGCAGUGCUCCUGGCAUCCACCAGCUACAUCUUGCUGUGCUGUAAGGCUGUGUGCUUUCUGUCCAAUCAGUCUGUGUUGCAUUAGGAUGAAGAGCAAGAAGCUCACAGAAAGUUCACCUCUGUAGCCAUGGCCCUCAGGGAUUAACCAUCAAACAACUGCCAGAACUACAGAGGGAUUCAGUCCUGCUGUCAUUACAUUGCAUGGCGCUUCUGCUCCUGAACUCUAAAGAUUUCUUUGGAAUUGAGGAACAGACUCUUGUAGUUUCUUAAAUCUGAUAUGUGACAGUGGCAUUUUGUGAUUACCCCAUAUCUGACUAUUUCCAGGAUUACUUUACAAUCAGUUUGCCAAACUUCAGUAAAAAAUGUAAAUGGAUUACUAUGGCCAAAAAUUUUUCACCUACCAUAAGCUGUAUGGAUAUUGACAGUAAAUUACUUGGAUAUUCUAGGUAACUAAAAAGGCAUCUUAAAACUUUAUUUAUCAAUUACUUUUAUUUUUUUCCCAUUGUGUGUGUGAGAGAGAGCUGACAAAGUUUAAAGAUCUUCUAGCUGAAUCCUCUGUUAACUCUUACAGCAACCAGUAUAUUUUACCUAAAAGAAAGAUGGUGUUUGUAUCUUUUGUUUAAUAGAUACCUUGGGGAGUGGAGGAAGAGAAAGGACUGUUGAAGCUCCAGCCUGGUGGUACUGUGUGGUACUCAGGCCUGCUGGGCUACCAGUGUAUUUUCACCACAAAAUAUCUGUCUCUGUGUCUUUAUGUGGUGCGCACCUAGCAAGACCAGACAGCAAAGCCUGCCUUCUUUUUCAAAGGGCUGAGUGGUCCAAGAUCACACAGGAACUGAAGAGAUCAACAGAUUGAGUCCAGGUUUUCCAAGCUACAUUUUUAUACUACUGAAUAAUUCCCUCUAAAGCUCAGUCUUCAUCAUCUGCUCAAUACUGCGUUGGGGCCUUCCCCUUUC
This 1370-nucleotide long non-coding RNA is filed under the name Phasianus colchicus (ring-necked pheasant). Its description in RNAcentral is "lncRNA (ENSPCLG00000012360.1)". The record is from RNAcentral. Lineage: Eukaryota; Metazoa; Chordata; Aves; Galliformes; Phasianidae.